GCUGGUUUUUCUGCGAAACUAUAUAAGUAGGUAAUUUAUAUACAUCAUAGCAGGUACAGAACUUGUCAUGUACAACUUGCACUAAAAAAGUGCUCUUUGUUCACGUGGGGGGGUCGGAAGAUUCUACUCGCUAGUAGUUGACCUCGGAAGGGUUAUGAUGACUAUAUAAUAAUCAGACAUAGUACGCUAAGGUUGUAUGUCUAAAGGGAAACAGCCCAGAACAAGAGUUAAUAAGGUUCCAAAAUUAUUGUUAAGUGAAAAUAAGGAAGUUUGCAUCCAAUUCAGCCAGGAGAUAGGCUUAGAUGCGGCCAUUUUUUAAAGACCUCGUAACAGAGCACUGGUUCAGUAAAUUAUUUUUAUAAUUUAUAUGGAUAAAAGCACCAAAAAUUUAACGGAUCUAAACAAUAUACCGAGACCUUGUCCAUAUUUAUCUAUAUAUCUAAGUUGUAUAUUGUAUUUAUGGGGUAGCGGAACAUUGGGCAAAUCUAAGAUUUUUUCUUUACAAGACUUAAGAUAAGAUAACCCAAGUGAUAAUGCUGACAUGAGUAACGAUAAAGGGAAUGAACUAUUCCCUCGCCUAAAACUUAUGGUAUUUACUUAAAGUAACGGCCUCUAAGUUUAUGAACCUAAAGGACUAAACGAUGAGAAAAUCUACCACCCGCUCGUUUAAUUGUUUCCUUCUGGGAAAUUAAUUGAAAACAAACAACCUUUGUGCAUAGACUAUAUCUAGGUAUUUAAUUUGAGAGCGGUACUAGAUAUUUGUUUGUGUUAAAGUGACAAGGGUUCUGGAUAAGUUAGGAGUAAAGUGGUGCAUCAUGCAUAAGAUAGGGAGGAUGCAAUCUCCUGCCUAAUAUGGUGUAACGACUACCGUACCUAGAAACUACCCCCAGUAAGUUAGUAGAGAAUACGAAGGCGUUUGAGUGAACAAUCAUUAAGGAACUCG
Molecule: ribosomal RNA, 943 nt
Filed under: Umbilicaria pennsylvanica
Lineage: Eukaryota; Fungi; Ascomycota; Lecanoromycetes; Umbilicariales; Umbilicariaceae
Description: LSU rRNA
Rfam family: Bacterial large subunit ribosomal RNA
Source: RNAcentral